This 270-nucleotide ribosomal RNA is filed under the name Triticum aestivum (bread wheat). RNAcentral describes it as "partial small subunit ribosomal RNA". The record is from RNAcentral. Lineage: Eukaryota; Viridiplantae; Streptophyta; Magnoliopsida; Poales; Poaceae.
AUGGAGAUUUUCAAGCAUGUGAGAGAGGUUGAUUGUUAUCCCAAUGUGUCCAUUGCUUAUUGCAUCUUAUUUACUGUGCAUGUGACUGUCGCAUCGAUUGGAUCAAGUUUUUCAAAGUUGAAAUUAUUGAAGAACUAUUUAGGAUCAACAAUGACUCACGAGAGACUAAAUGGAGUAUUAUGCAUCGAGAAGAAAUUAUUGGAUGAGAUUGACAUCAACCCCCUCAUAAGUGACUUUACACUGAGGAAUGUAAAGAAAAUUCGAAGGUAA